CCCUUAGAUGUUCUGGGCCGCACGCGUGCUACACUGAGUGGAUCAGCGGGUCAGGUUGCGCGAAAGCGUUUCCUAAUCUUUAAAUCCGCUCGUGAUGGGGAUUGACGGUUGCAAUUUUCUGUCAUGAACGAGGAAUACCUUGUAAGCGCGGGUCAUCAUCCCGCGCUGAAUACGUCCCUGCCCUUUGUACACACCGCCCGUCGCUCCUACCGAUUGAGUGGUUUAGUGAGAUCCUUGGAUCGGCCCUGUCGCGGCUGGCAACGGCCGCGUCGGCGCGUCGAGAAGACGAUCAAACUUGAUCAUUUAGAGGAAGUAAAAGUCGUAACA
RNAcentral lists this ribosomal RNA (327 nucleotides) under uncultured eukaryote. Its description in RNAcentral is "partial 18S ribosomal RNA". It matches the Rfam family "Eukaryotic small subunit ribosomal RNA", at positions 1470 to 1796 of the family's 1831-position model. The record is from RNAcentral.